CAAGUCGAACGAACCUUUCGGGGUUAGUGGCGGACGGGUGAGUAACGCGUGAGAAUCUGCCCUCAGGAGGGGGAUAACGACUGGAAACGGUCGCUAAUACCCCAUAUGCCGAGAGGUGAAAUGAAUUUCGCCUGAGGAUGAGCUCGCGUCUGAUUAGCUAGUUGGUGGGGUAAAGGCCUACCAAGGCGACGAUCAGUAGCUGGUCUGAGAGGAUGAUCAGCCACACUGGGACUGAGACACGGCCCAGACUCCUACGGGAGGCAGCAGUGGGGAAUUUUCCGCAAUGGGCGAAAGCCUGACGGAGCAACGCCGCGUGAGGGAUGAAGGCCUCUGGGCUGUAAACCUCUUUUCUCAAGGAAGAAGAUCUGACGGUACUUGAGGAAUAAGCCACGGCUAAUUCCGUGCCAGCAGCCGCGGUAAUACGGGAGUGGCAAGCGUUAUCCGGAAUUAUUGGGCGUAAAGCGUCCGCAGGCGGCCUUGUAAGUCUGUCGUUAAAGCGUGGAGCUUAACUCCAUUUCAGCGGUGGAAACUACAAGGCUUGAGUGUGGUAGGGGCAGAGGGAAUUCCCGGUGUAGCGGUGAAAUGCGUAGAUAUCGGGAAGAACACCAGUGGCGAAGGCGCUCUGCUGGGCCAUAACUGACGCUCAUGGACGAAAGCCAGGGGAGCGAAAGGGAUUAGAUACCCCUGUAGUCCUGGCCGUAAACGAUGAACACUAGGCGUCGAGGGAAUCGACCCCCUCGGUGUCGUAGCCAACGCGUUAAGUGUUCCGCCUGGGGAGUACGCACGCAAGUGUGAAACUCAAAGGAAUUGACGG
This 814-nucleotide ribosomal RNA is filed under the name uncultured bacterium. Its description in RNAcentral is "bacterial SSU rRNA". It matches the Rfam family "Bacterial small subunit ribosomal RNA", at positions 58 to 916 of the family's 1533-position model. The record is from RNAcentral.